AGUGAACGCUGGCGGUAGGCCUAACACAUGCAAGUCGAACGGCAGCACAGUAAGAGCUUGCUCUUACGGGUGGCGAGUGGCGGACGGGUGAGGAAUACGUCGGAAUCUACUUUUUCGUGGGGGAUAACGUAGGGAAACUUACGCUAAUACCGCAUACGACCUACGGGUGAAAGCAGGGGAUCUUCGGACCUUGCGUGAUUGAAUGAGCCGAUGUCGGAUUAGCUAGUUGGCGGGGUAAAGGCCCACCAAGGCGACGAUCCGUAGCUGGUCUGAGAGGAUGAUCAGCCACACUGGAACUGAGACACGGUCCAGACUCCUACGGGAGGCAGCAGUGGGGAAUAUUGGACAAUGGGCGCAAGCCUGAUCCAGCCAUACCGCGUGGGUGAAGAAGGCCUUCGGGUUGUAAAGCCCUUUUGUUGGGAAAGAAAAGCAGCAGGUUAAUACCCCGCUGUUCUGACGGUACCCAAAGAAUAAGCACCGGCUAACUUCGUG
RNAcentral lists this ribosomal RNA (492 nucleotides) under uncultured bacterium. RNAcentral's name for it is "partial 16S ribosomal RNA". It matches the Rfam family "Bacterial small subunit ribosomal RNA", at positions 29 to 507 of the family's 1533-position model. The record is from RNAcentral.